GGAAGAAUAACAAAAUAUAGAUGAUUCAAGUAUUAAAAUCAAAAGGAAACAUAGAUAAAGGAGGAAAGAAAAAAAUCGUGUGAUACUUCAGUAUUCUCACACAGAAGAGAAAUAGAUGGGUUGUCCAAGUAAGGCAUGGAUUACAGAAAUAGAUGAAUGGAGCCUUCCAUUAAUGUUGAUGUCACUGAGAAAUACUCUCAAACCUACACGAUGAACAAGUUGACUACUUAGUGUCCUCAUUGGAAAGCUUUUUAAUUUAAGAGGUUUGAAGUUAAAACAUAAUUCUCAUACUAUGCAUUUCCUACUACAAUUUAUCAUUUAUCAAUAUUCAAUUACCACAUGACCUUUAAGG
This 352-nucleotide long non-coding RNA is filed under the name Heterocephalus glaber (naked mole-rat). RNAcentral describes it as "lncRNA (ENSHGLG00000036314.1)". The record is from RNAcentral. Lineage: Eukaryota; Metazoa; Chordata; Mammalia; Rodentia; Bathyergidae.